Non-coding RNA from Chiloscyllium plagiosum (whitespotted bambooshark), 311 nucleotides. Lineage: Eukaryota; Metazoa; Chordata; Chondrichthyes; Orectolobiformes; Hemiscylliidae. The record is from RefSeq and is a predicted model, not a curated record.
CUUCUCUUCCCCACCCUUUGAACCGCGAUAGAAAACAAUACCUCUCACCUUUGCCUCGUUAUGGCAGUUUCCCAGAAUUGAUAUUCAAAUUAGUGAUGCUAAAAGAAUUGAUGAAUAUCAGAUAUAUUUACAUGCAGAUCUCUUGAAAGUGACAUCACAAUAUCACGAAUUAACCCUACUCUUUCCCAUCUUUCGUCUCCGAAGAAACUCUAGGCAUCACCUUUUCCAGCAUCAAUAGGAUUAGCAGCAACACAAGCAGGAACUGACACCAGCAGCGGACGAGCCUGCAGAGGCACAAUAGCCUGCACAAG